UGGGGAAUAUUGCACAAUGGAGGGAACUCUGAUGCAGCGACGCCGCGUGAGUGAUGAAGGAAUUCGUUUCGUAAAACUCUGUACUAUGGGAAGAAAAGGACUGUACCAUAGGAGAAAGCUCCGGCUAAAUACGUGCCAGCAGCCGCGGUAAUACGUAUGGAGCGAGCGUUGUCCGGAAUUAUUGGGCGUAAAGGGUGCGCAGGCGGCUUUACAAGUUGGAUGUGAAAUAUUGUGGCUCAACCACAAACGUGCAUCCAAAACUGCAAAGCUUGAGUUAAGGAGAGGUAAGUGGAAUUCCUGGUGUAGCGGUGGAAUGCGUAGAUAUCAGGAGGAAUACCGGUGGCGAAGGCGACUUACUGGACUUAAACUGACGCUCAGGCACGAAAGCGUGGGGAGCAAACAGG
This 404-nucleotide ribosomal RNA is filed under the name Fusobacteriota bacterium. RNAcentral describes it as "Fusobacteria bacterium partial 16S ribosomal RNA". It matches the Rfam family "Bacterial small subunit ribosomal RNA", at positions 355 to 776 of the family's 1533-position model. The record is from RNAcentral. Lineage: Bacteria; Fusobacteriati; Fusobacteriota.